GCAUAUCAAUAAGCGGAGGAAAAGAAAUUAACUAAGAUUGCCUCAGUAACGGCGAGUGAAGCGGCAAGAGCCCAAAAUGUAAAUCUUCACACUACGUGUGACGAAUUGUAAUCUAAAGAUGGUUCGCUCAACGGGCGGUGGCGCAGAAGUGCCUUAGAACGGGCCGCCAGAGAGGGUGACAGCCCCGUAUGUGGUGCCACUGCCUAACGAGCGGGUUAUCGAAGAGUCGGGUUGUUUUGUAUUGCAGCCCUAAGUGGGAGAUAAACUUCUUCUAAGGCUAAAUAUCUAUGGGAAACCGAUAGCGAACAAGUACUGUGAAGGAAAGAUGAAAAGAACUUUGAAAAGAGAGUCAAAAGACUUGAAAUCGUUGAGAAGGAAGCGGUAGAAAUUUAUUCUUCGGCGGAGGACGGUGGCGGCUGCCUAACCAUUGCCGGGCGUCAGUACUGCAUAAGGCUGCGUUCGGCACUUGGGGAAGCGGCCGCUUUGCCCUCC
RNAcentral lists this ribosomal RNA (492 nucleotides) under uncultured fungus. RNAcentral describes it as "LSU rRNA". It matches the Rfam family "Eukaryotic large subunit ribosomal RNA", at positions 38 to 534 of the family's 3401-position model. The record is from RNAcentral. Lineage: Eukaryota; Fungi.